CCUGCCCCUAGAGGCUUUGCAAGUGUGUCUGCUGUGCCACAUGUGCAUCAUAGGUGGCAGAGAGGAGAGAAGUGAUGUCUAAGUUCAGUGUUCUGACUUAUGAACAUCUGAAUUAUUAGUAACAUAACAUU
Molecule: small nucleolar RNA, 131 nt
Organism: Rattus norvegicus (Norway rat)
Lineage: Eukaryota; Metazoa; Chordata; Mammalia; Rodentia; Muridae
Product: small nucleolar RNA SNORA17
Source: Ensembl